Molecule: long non-coding RNA, 1047 nt
Organism: Alnus glutinosa
Lineage: Eukaryota; Viridiplantae; Streptophyta; Magnoliopsida; Fagales; Betulaceae
Exons: 3
Source: RefSeq, a predicted model, not a curated record
CCCUUCCUCUUUUCUUUUCUCUUCUAUUUUUCUUCUCCCUUUCUUCUUUCUUCUUCAUUUCUUCUUCUUCUUCGUCCUUCUGCCGAGUGACCCACAGAGAGAGAAUGAGAGAGGGAAAGAGCGACAGAGAGCGUGAGAUAGAGGGAGACCCGACGGAGAGAGCAAGGGGAGCCGAUUUCCGGCAAGCCCGUGACCCGCAACCCGGUAGAGAAAACCCGGGCGGUUCGAGAACCCGUAACCCGUCCGUGUGAAACACGAACGACCCACCGAACCAGAGACGCUCCAGCGGCCUGAGAAGCGAUUUACGGUGGAUGGAGGCCGUUCUCCUGUGGUUUCCGUCGGUAGUGGACUGCCCAGAACCUCACAAACCCGAGACUUGCGACCCAUGACCCGCUGAACCCGUGUGACCCGAUCUUUCGGUGGUGAAGUCCGGCACGAUUUCCGGCGGCCAGAGCUGAAAUCUGGCGGUCCCAAUAGCGGUUUCCGGCGAGCUGUGACCCGGAUGAGUGCAAAACCCGUGUAAUCCGAAACCCGUGACCCAGUGAUCCACGACCCGAGACCCGUGAAACCCAACCCUCUAGGAAUGGUUUUCCGGCGAAUUCUCCGACGAACCAGAGCCAAUUUCCGGUGAUUUAUCCGGUGGAUUUCUGGGAAUAUCCUCAAAGAUUGUGUUCGGAUUGGGGACUUUAAUUGGUUCUCCAAUGUAGAGUCUAAGUGACUAGAGUCAAGGGAAUGUUUGAGUCAAGAGUCUAAAUGCAGCCAAGAUGUUCCUUUGGCUGCAGGUGCUCCAGUCGUAGGGGAGAGUGUUGUAGAUGUGCACUUUGGAUAAUAUGACCGAAGCUCACCGUGACGGUCGUAAUGGUUGGACCACAAUUGUCCACUAUUUUAUAGGUUUUGUUUAUGGCUUGUGACGCUUUGGUCACUUGUUAUUGUAUAAGCCAUUCAUGUUGUUUAAAUAUUAUGUUGAUAAGACUUAAACAUAUAGAUGUUAAAUGGCUCUGUAUUGUAAAUAAUUUGUAAUAGAUGUAUAAGCUAUGCUUUUCGCUA